GUCGAAUCCGCGGAUUUCAAAUUCAACUACGCAAGGCAAGCAACAAUAUUGACAUACAUGAUUUUAAUGAACAAACUCGUUACAGUAUUAUAAAUCAAAUAACAAAAAAAGACAUAAUUGAUAACAACACGAAAUCAACGGGUGCACGUAGCAAUGGACUUAGAGUCCAAUCUACAAUUCCAGAUAGAACUAACAAUAGACAAUACAAUAGUAUCAUAUAGUAAAUAAGUAGACCAAAAAAUAAAUGAAUGAUGUAGAAAUAGGUCAAAUGGCCUUUUCCCAACAACAACAAAAUCCAGCGUAAACAACCUCAUCAUUAGUCAGCAAAUUUCACAUAAUGGUAAAAAAAGAUAAAUAGAUAACAAUUUGGAAUUUGACUUUCAACUUUUAUGAAGAUUAAAAAAAAUGAUUUGCAGGAAACUCAUUAAAGAACAACAAACUUAAGCUUCCUCUCUAUAUGCAUGAAACUAACACAAACCAACAUGCAUAAAUGAAACGAGCUUCAAUCGUUAAAAAUAAAACAUUACAAUAAUAAAAUUCACACUGUAGAUCUAGAUUCAAAUGUGAGCAUAUGUUUAGAUAAAAAAAAAGAACCUACUGCAAUGAAUUCGACUCUUUACGGUUUCCACGAACUUGCUGUUGAAGAGCAAGGCACGAUGAUGAUAAUAAGUUGUGAGUUGAAGAUGAGGAGCUGUAAGUGUUGAACAACGAUGCGGUUUUGGGUGAGGAAGAUGUGUCGACGUGGUGGGUGUUUCACGGUGGGGGUGAAUUGCGACGGAGGGUGUUCCUCGGAGGGAUGGUUGUGCACACGACGGAGGAUGAUGUUGAGGCGGAGAAGAUUAUGGAUGAAGGAAGAGUGAGGUACAACAAGGUGAGUGAAGGUCUCGCGGCGGUGUCGAUGGAAGGUCUCGCGGCGGUGUCGAUGGAAGGUUGUCGCCGGUGGUGACUUUCGCAGAUGGAGAAGAAGAAGCGGUCAAUGAUGAUGUGUUGUGACAGUAGUGACAUAGUUGACGUUGAGAGAAUUCCACCGGUGGGGACGGUUGUGGAAGAAGGUUUGUAUGGUCACGGAGAAGAGGAUCUCCGUUUGAGUUUUAUUCUCCUCUUUUUUUUCUGCGUCUUUUUUUUAUAUUCUCCUUUUUCUUUUUGAACCUCGAGAGAGAGAGAGAGAGAGAGAGAGAGAGAGAGACGUUGGAGAGGUUUUGGAAAAAAAUGUUUGUUCAGUCGAUUUGUUUUUGAGAAACCAAGAAGGAGAGAGUGAUUCCUCUAUUUCCCGCCAGCGAGAGCCCCAUGUGAGCGUGUUCUGCCCCCUUUUUGAAGAAGAGCAUUAUUUUUUGUUUUUUCUCUUUCUCUGUCCACGCGUUCCC
Molecule: long non-coding RNA, 1364 nt
Filed under: Lathyrus oleraceus (garden pea)
Lineage: Eukaryota; Viridiplantae; Streptophyta; Magnoliopsida; Fabales; Fabaceae
Description: Pisum sativum (pea) long non-coding RNA (PSAT_LNC012783)
Source: RNAcentral